Molecule: ribosomal RNA, 490 nt
Filed under: uncultured bacterium
Lineage: Bacteria
Description: partial 16S ribosomal RNA
Rfam family: Bacterial small subunit ribosomal RNA
Source: RNAcentral
AUUGAACGCUGGCGGCAGGCCUAACACAUGCAAGUCGAACGGUAACAGGAAGCAGCUUGCUGCUUUGCUGACGAGUGGCGGACGGGUGAGUAAUGUCUGGGAAACUGCCCGAUGGAGGGGGAUAACUACUGGAAACGGUAGCUAAUACCGCAUAACGUCGCAAGACCAAAGAGGGGGACCUUAGGGCCUCUUGCCAUCGGAUGUGCCCAGAUGGGAUUAGCUAGUAGGUGGGGUAACGGCUCACCUAGGCGACGAUCCUUAGCUGGUCUGAGAGGAUGACCGGCCACACUGGAACUGAGACACGGUCCAGACUCCUACGGGAGGCAGCAGUAGGGAAUAUUGCGCAAUGGGCGCAAGCCUGAUGCAGCAAUGCCGCGUGUAUGAAGAAGGCCUUCGGGUUGUAAAGUACUUUCAGCGGGGAGGAAGGGAGUAAAGUUAAUACCUUUGCUCAUUGACGUUACCCGCAGAAGAAGCACCGGCUAACUCCGUG